This 178-nucleotide long non-coding RNA is filed under the name Ictidomys tridecemlineatus (thirteen-lined ground squirrel). RNAcentral's name for it is "lncRNA (ENSSTOG00000030188.1)". The record is from RNAcentral. Lineage: Eukaryota; Metazoa; Chordata; Mammalia; Rodentia; Sciuridae.
UCAAUUAACAUACCUUGGGCAUCAUGGAGGAACUGAAAUGGAAGAGGAAGUUACAUGGGAAUGACAUUCCAUCCUUCCAGAAGAACAAUUUCCCUGUCAAAAAUUCAAGAGGAAGAAUAGAAAGAGAUUAUGAGAAAAUCAUCAGAAUGAGGGGAUUUCCUCUAAGAAUAACAGACUU